AAUUGAAUGCCUGAUAAAAAGGAUUACCUUGAUAGGGUAAAUCAUGUGGCUACCCACUUCAAUUA
Molecule: transfer RNA, 65 nt
Filed under: Triops cancriformis
Lineage: Eukaryota; Metazoa; Arthropoda; Branchiopoda; Notostraca; Triopsidae
Description: tRNA-Ile
Source: RNAcentral